AACGAACGCUGGCGGCAUGCCUAACACAUGCAAGUCGAACGAGACCUUCGGGUCUAGUGGCGCACGGGUGCGUAACGCGUGGGAAUCUGCCCUUGGGUUCGGAAUAACAGUUAGAAAUGACUGCUAAUACCGGAUAAUGUCUUCGGACCAAAGAUUUAUCGCCCAGGGAUGAGCCCGCGUAGGAUUAGCUAGUUGGUGAGGUAAAGGCUCACCAAGGCGACGAUCCUUAGCUGGUCUGAGAGGAUGAUCAGCCACACUGGGACUGAGACACGGCCCAGACUCCUACGGGAGGCAGCAGUGGGGAAUAUUGGACAAUGGGCGAAAGCCUGAUCCAGCAAUGCCGCGUGAGUGAUGAAGGCCUUAGGGUUGUAAAGCUCUUUUACCCGGGAUGAUAAUGACAGUACCGGGAGAAUAAGCCCGGCUAACUCCGUGCCAGCAGCCGCGGUAA
RNAcentral lists this ribosomal RNA (448 nucleotides) under uncultured bacterium. RNAcentral describes it as "bacterial SSU rRNA". It matches the Rfam family "Bacterial small subunit ribosomal RNA", at positions 29 to 523 of the family's 1533-position model. The record is from RNAcentral.